Molecule: ribosomal RNA, 492 nt
Filed under: uncultured bacterium
Lineage: Bacteria
Description: partial 16S ribosomal RNA
Rfam family: Bacterial small subunit ribosomal RNA
Source: RNAcentral
AGUGAACGCUGGCGGUAGGCCUAACACAUGCAAGUCGAACGGCAGCACAGUAAGAGCUUGCUCUUACGGGUGGCGAGUGGCGGACGGGUGAGGAAUACAUCGGAAUCUACUUUUUCGUGGGGGAUAACGUAGGGAAACUUACGCUAAUACCGCAUACGACCUACGGGUGAAAGCAGGGGAUCUUCGGACCUUGCGCGAUUGAAUGAGCCGAUGUCGGAUUAGCUAGUUGGCGGGGUAAAGGCCCACCAAGGCGACGAUCCGUAGCUGGUCUGAGAGGAUGAAUCGCCAAACCGGAAACUAGGAAAGGUCCCAGCCCCCAAGGGGGGGCGGCGGUGGGAAUUAUGGGCAAUGGGGGCAAGGCCGAUUCAAGCCAACCGGGGUGGGUAAGGAGGCCUUUCGGGUGGUAAGCCCUUUUGUUGGGAAAGAAAAGCAGCAGGUUAAUACCCCGCUGUUCUGACGGUACCCAAAGAAUAAGCACCGGCUAACUUCGUG